GGGGAACCUUUGUGGCCACAGAACAGUAGGUUCCUCCUGAAGGACUCCUGUGGGAAAGCAGUGGCACUACUCCCUGGACCCUGGAAACUCCACAGCCCCAGGCUCAGCUCCUCUUGGUCAGCAGUGGGGCAGCGGGGAAGACUGCUGCUGCAGAGGAGACCUGGAGACGAAGAUAUGCGGGAAACGCAGUCUGGAUGCAGAGGCAGAACCCGAACCAAAAAGGAGCUCGCGGCCGCAAGGGUCAGGGGAGGGCAGUGGCUGGGCCCCAGGGCCUGCAGAGAGCCACACUCCCAUCACCGUUCCUCUGACAGUGCUUUCCAACUGUAUCUCCAGCCUUCAGGAGUUUCCCUCCCACAGGAGAGAAAAGAGCAAGGGCCACUCCUUGGCUUUCCUCUCUGCACCCACAUGCCCUGAAAACCCUCCCCCAACCAGCACCAUCCCUGAAACCCGGCUCGGUGGAGGUGGAGGGAGGAGGGUGUGGAAGGCUGUAGCCUCAGGGGCCCAGCACUUAAUUCAGCCAGCUGGUCAGAAGGCACAGGCCAGUGGCCUGUGUCAGGAGGACAGUCGGUGUGCGCCUCCAGGAUCACACAUCCGGCCACCAAGCCCCACUCCCUGGCCCUUUCUGCUCCCUGCCUUCAGCCACCAUUAUCUGCCCCCCGACCCCGGCCUUUUCCUACUCUCAGGUCUCUUUCUCAGGUCUCAGCCUUUCCUUUUGCUCACAAACUCCCUUCCUCUCCCCAUCUCCCCCUCUCCCUUGCAGUCGCUCUCCCUCGGUCUCUCUCUGUCUCUAUCUUUAUCUCUGUCUCUAUUUCUCUGUCUCUCCAUCAGAAGUAGCAGGGGAAUUGGUGCAGGGGUUUUUCCCACAACUGUACAGAGUGUGAGCAAUCGUUGCUCUUGCAGAAGGAACUCAAACCUUCCUGCGGCAGCAAGAACAGGUGUGAAAUUUUGAGGAAUUUGAAGUUUUCCCGUGGCCUCAGCCUUGUUCUCUGACUGACAGGAGAGCUGAAUGGGGCCUCUGAAGUUUUCAUUGUGACUUCAAGCCUCCUCCCCUGUCCUGAGAGCCCUGGUGUCUUUUGCUUCUGCCAAUGCCAGCAGCUCUUGAUGCAGGCGCACAAUUGGCAACGGCUUGGCAAACCUCAGGGUGGCAGUCCUGUCCCACAGUAU
RNAcentral lists this long non-coding RNA (1164 nucleotides) under Balaenoptera musculus (blue whale). RNAcentral describes it as "lncRNA (ENSBMSG00010008920.1)". Lineage: Eukaryota; Metazoa; Chordata; Mammalia; Artiodactyla; Balaenopteridae. The record is from RNAcentral.